RNAcentral lists this unclassified non-coding RNA (378 nucleotides) under Hevea brasiliensis (rubber tree). The record is from RNAcentral. Lineage: Eukaryota; Viridiplantae; Streptophyta; Magnoliopsida; Malpighiales; Euphorbiaceae.
UGGAUGAAAGCCCAGUUUUCCUCUUGUAUCAGGAUUGGGCAUUGGGCUUAAUUUUUCUUAAGAUAUGGACUAGACUGGUAAUGUUAGAUCAUAUGAUACCACUGGUGGAUGACAGUUGGAGGGUAAAGUUUGAAAGAGUUAGAGAAGAUGGCUUCUCCAGGCUGCAAGGACUCUGGGUUCUGCGGGAAAUAGUUGUGCCAAUUAUAAUGAAGUUACUGACAGCACUAUGCGUACCAUAUGUACUAGCUAGAGGAGUAUUUCCCGUAUUUGGGUACCCGCUGAUCGUCAACUCGGCUGUUUAUCGAUUUGCUUGGAUUGGAUGCCUUUGUGUUAGCAUGUUGUAUUUCUGUGCCAAGAGAUUUCAUGUUUGGUUCACCA